RNAcentral lists this ribosomal RNA (502 nucleotides) under uncultured bacterium. RNAcentral describes it as "partial 16S ribosomal RNA". It matches the Rfam family "Bacterial small subunit ribosomal RNA", at positions 28 to 507 of the family's 1533-position model. The record is from RNAcentral.
GACGAACGCUGGCGGCGUGCUUAACACAUGCAAGUCGAACGGUGAAGGGGUCUGCUUUUGUGGGCCCUGGAUGAGUGGCGAACGGGUGAGUAACACGUGAGUAACCUUCCCCCUUCUUCUGGAUAACCGCAUGAAAGUGUGGCUAAUACGGGAUAUUCUGGGUCUGUCGCAUGAUGGGUCUGGGAAAGAUUGCGCCUUUGGGUGUUUUUGGUGGGGGAUGGGCUCGCGGCCUAUCAGCUUGUUGGUGGGGUGAUGGCCUACCAAGGCGGUGACGGGUAGCCGGCCUGAGAGGGUGGACGGUCACACUGGGACUGAGACACGGCCCAGACUCCUACGGGAGGCAGCAGUGGGGAAUAUUGCACAAUGGGCGCAAGCCUGAUGCAGCGACGCCGCGUGAGGGAUGGAGGCCUUCGGGUUGUAAACCUCUUUCGCCAGUGAAGCAGGCCUGCUCCUUGUGGGUGGGUUGACGGUAGCUGGAUAAGAAGCGCCGGCUAACUACGUG